CAACUGCCGAGCGACUUCCCAUCCUCCUCUAGGCAAUCCCCGCCAUGUCUUAUCGCACCAGGAACUCCUCUGCAAACAUCUACGAUGAGAAUACAAAUGUUCGCGGGAAGCGCACCCGCUACAG
RNAcentral lists this non-coding RNA (124 nucleotides) under Lotharella globosa. The record is from RNAcentral. Lineage: Eukaryota; Cercozoa; Chlorarachniophyceae.